This is a non-coding RNA of Chrysemys picta bellii (western painted turtle), 512 nucleotides long. Lineage: Eukaryota; Metazoa; Chordata; Testudines; Emydidae. The record is from RefSeq and is a predicted model, not a curated record.
AGAAUUAGAUAAGUUCAUGGAGGAUAGAUCCAUCAAUGUCUGUUAGCCAAGAUGAUCAGGGACCCCAUCCUCUGUGUGUCCGUAAACCUCUAAUAAAUUGCACUGUUUUCAUCCCCUUUGAAGUAUGUUGCAUCAGCCAUGGUCAGAAGGCAGGAUAAUGGGCUAGAUUAGCCAUACUGGAUCAGACCACUGGUCAUUCUUAUAUAAGGGGAAUAGGUAAAAAUGUACUGCUUGUAGGCAAAUACAUUUAUAGCAUUCAUGAUAGAAGUGAUUAAACUGAACUUUUCCAACAGGAAAGAAGACUGAAAGAAUAACAAAGGUGGCAGAAAAGUAUUUGCAUAUACGCAAUGUCUUGAUAGACCACAUUCAUGCCAUUUUAAAUUAAGGUGCUGAGCUCUUUGAAAACCAGAUGCUAAGCUAAAGCUGCAAGUAAUCUACCAGGAGCAGAGCUGUCUGCUGGAAUACAUUACAUACAAUGCAUAGACCUUAAAAAUAAAGUCAUGCAAAUUUGG